AUGCAGGAAUUGCUUUCUAGUAUCCAGGCCCUGGGCUAUGUGGCUAUGGCUCCCAAGCCUGGCCCCUAUGUGAAAGAAUUGAAUGAUGCUGCCAUGUUUUAUACAAACCGAGUCCUCAAGGAGAACAAAGAUGUGGAUAAGAAGCAUGUAGACUGGGUCAAAGCUUACUUGAGUAUAUGGACAGAGCUGCAGGCCUACAUUAAGGAGUUCUAUACCACCGGACUGGCCGGGAGCAAAACGGAACCUGUGGCAAAAGAACUGAGGGGAUUGCCAUCUGGACCCUCUGCUGGACCAGGUCCUCCUCCUCCCCCACCAGGCCCACCUCCUCCUCCAGUCUCCACCAGUUUAGGCUCAGAUGACUUAGCUUCCCGCUCAGCACUGUUUGUGCAGAUUAAUCAGGGGGAGAGGAUCAGAUAUAUGAUAUAUAUAUCAUAUAUCUGAAACAUAUAUCUGAUGACAUGAAGACUCACAAGAACCCUGCCCUAAAGGCUCAGAGUGGUCCAGUACGCAGCGGCCCCAAGCCAUUCUCUGCACCGAAACCCCAAACCAGCCCCUCACCCAAACCAGCUACAAAGAAGGAACCAGCUCUACUUGAACUGGAGGGCAAGAAAUGGAGAGUGGGAAAUCAGGAGAAUGUUUCCAACCUGGUGAUUGAUGACACAGAACUGAAACAGGUGGCUUACAUAUACAAGUGUGUCAAUACAACAUUGCAAAUCAAGGGCAAAAUUAACUCCAUUACAGUAGAUAACUGUAAGAAACUUGGUCUGGUAUUCGAUGACGUCCUGGGCAUUGUGGAGAUAAUCAAUAGUAGGGAUGUCAAAGUUCAGGUCAUGGGUAAAGUGCCAACCAUUUCCAUCAACAAAACAGAUGGCUGCCAUGCUUACCUGAGUAAGAAUUCCCUGGAUUGUGAAAUAGUGCCAAAUCUUCAGAGAUGAACGUCCUCAUUCCUAUAGAAGAUGGAGACUUUAAUGAGUUUCCAGUCCCUGAGCAGUUUAAGACCCUAUGGAAUGGGCAGAAGUUGGUCACCACAGUGACAGAAAUUGCUGGAUAAGUGAAGUGCCACUGGAUUCUUUGCCCUCCCUUCACACCAUGGGAUAAAUCUGUAUCAAGACGGUUCUUUUCUAGAUUUUCCUCUACCUUUCUGCUCUUAAACUGCUUCUCUGCUGAGAAGCACAGCUACCUGCCUUCACUGAAAUAUACCUGAGGCUGAGAUUUGGGGUUAGGGUAGCAGGUCAGUUGAUCUUCUGCAGAAUGGUGCAGCUUUUCCAUAUCAGCUCAACCACACUGCCAGUCCAUUCUUAAGGAACUACAGACCAGAACCGAUGCAUUUUAGCUUUCAGCUUUUGGGGGCAAUUCUACCAACAGUCCUUUGGGAGACUAAAACAGUCCCAGGAAUUAACAGAUCAGAAUGUUCACACUAACCUUUUUCUAAUAAUGAGCAUGAAGGUAGCAGGAGUUGGUAUGAUUCCAGAUGGUUCCUCUAACCAAACUCAUUUUUCGGUGUUGAUAAGCAAGGCAAGCGUUGCACUGGACCAAGGGCUGAGGCUUGGCCAUCUAGCAUUCCAAGCAAAAUUGUUUCCCAUAAGCAUUCCUCUUAUUCUGCAUUCCACCCUGGGUCUGCCUCCGCCAUGAGAUAGGAGGUUCUCUUGUACCAGCUGCUGUAGCAGUGCCCUUUAUCCAGGGCAGUUAAAGGAGUCUUGGACCCCUUCUUUCU
Molecule: RNA transcript, 1714 nt
Organism: Carlito syrichta (Philippine tarsier)
Lineage: Eukaryota; Metazoa; Chordata; Mammalia; Primates; Tarsiidae
Gene name: adenylyl cyclase-associated protein 1-like
Exons: 2
Source: RefSeq, a predicted model, not a curated record